RNAcentral lists this transfer RNA (71 nucleotides) under Mycobacterium sp. AZCC_0083. RNAcentral's name for it is "tRNA-Val". It matches the Rfam family "tRNA". From Rfam's summary of the family: Transfer RNA (tRNA) molecules are approximately 80 nucleotides in length. Their secondary structure includes four short double-helical elements and three loops (D, anti-codon, and T loops). Lineage: Bacteria; Bacillati; Actinomycetota; Actinomycetes; Mycobacteriales; Mycobacteriaceae. The record is from RNAcentral.
GCCCGAUUAGCUCAAUGGGAGAGCGGCCGGUUUACACCCGGUUGACGACUGUUCAAUUCGGUCAUUGGGUA